AACGAACGCUGGCGGCAUGCCUAACACAUGCAAGUCGAACGAGACCUUCGGGUCUAGUGGCGCACGGGUGCGUAACGCGUGGGAACCUGCCCUUAGGUUCGGAAUAACUCCCCGAAAGGGGUGCUAAUACCGGAUAAUGUCUUCGGACCAAAGAUUUAUCGCCUUUGGAUGGGCCCGCGUUGGAUUAGCUAGUUGGUAGGGUAAAAGCCUACCAAGGCGACGAUCCAUAGCUGGUCUGAGAGGAUGAUCAGCCACACUGGGACUGAGACACGGCCCAGACUCCUACGAGAGGCAGCAGUGGGGAAUAUGGGACAAUGGGCGAGAGCCUGAUCCAGCAAGGCCGCGUGAGUGAUGAAGGCCUUAGGGUUGUAAAGCUCUUUUACCCGGGAUGAUAAGGACAGUACCGGGAGAAUAAGCUCCGGCUAACUCCGG
This 432-nucleotide ribosomal RNA is filed under the name uncultured bacterium. RNAcentral's name for it is "partial 16S ribosomal RNA". It matches the Rfam family "Bacterial small subunit ribosomal RNA", at positions 29 to 506 of the family's 1533-position model. The record is from RNAcentral.